This 2889-nucleotide ribosomal RNA is filed under the name Pseudomonas aeruginosa BWHPSA027. RNAcentral describes it as "bacterial LSU rRNA". It matches the Rfam family "Bacterial large subunit ribosomal RNA". Lineage: Bacteria; Pseudomonadati; Pseudomonadota; Gammaproteobacteria; Pseudomonadales; Pseudomonadaceae. The record is from RNAcentral.
UCAAGUGAAGAAGCGCAUACGGUGGAUGCCUUGGCAGUCAGAGGCGAUGAAAGACGUGGUAGCCUGCGAAAAGCUUCGGGGAGUCGGCAAACAGACUUUGAUCCGGAGAUCUCUGAAUGGGGGAACCCACCUAGGAUAACCUAGGUAUCUUGUACUGAAUCCAUAGGUGCAAGAGGCGAACCAGGGGAACUGAAACAUCUAAGUACCCUGAGGAAAAGAAAUCAACCGAGAUUCCCUUAGUAGUGGCGAGCGAACGGGGAUUAGCCCUUAAGCUUCAUUGAUUUUAGCGGAACGCUCUGGAAAGUGCGGCCAUAGUGGGUGAUAGCCCCGUACGCGAAAGGAUCUUUGAAGUGAAAUCGAGUAGGACGGAGCACGAGAAACUUUGUCUGAACAUGGGGGGACCAUCCUCCAAGGCUAAAUACUACUGACUGACCGAUAGUGAACCAGUACCGUGAGGGAAAGGCGAAAAGAACCCCGGAGAGGGGAGUGAAAUAGAACCUGAAACCGUAUGCGUACAAGCAGUGGGAGCCUACUUGUUAGGUGACUGCGUACCUUUUGUAUAAUGGGUCAGCGACUUAUAUUCAGUGGCAAGCUUAACCGUAUAGGGUAGGCGUAGCGAAAGCGAGUCUUAAUAGGGCGUUUAGUCGCUGGGUAUAGACCCGAAACCGGGCGAUCUAUCCAUGAGCAGGUUGAAGGUUAGGUAACACUGACUGGAGGACCGAACCCACUCCCGUUGAAAAGGUAGGGGAUGACUUGUGGAUCGGAGUGAAAGGCUAAUCAAGCUCGGAGAUAGCUGGUUCUCCUCGAAAGCUAUUUAGGUAGCGCCUCAUGUAUCACUCUGGGGGGUAGAGCACUGUUUCGGCUAGGGGGUCAUCCCGACUUACCAAACCGAUGCAAACUCCGAAUACCCAGAAGUGCCGAGCAUGGGAGACACACGGCGGGUGCUAACGUCCGUCGUGAAAAGGGAAACAAUCCAGACCGCCAGCUAAGGUCCCAAAGUUGUGGUUAAGUGGUAAACGAUGUGGGAAGGCUUAGACAGCUAGGAGGUUGGCUUAGAAGCAGCCACCCUUUAAAGAAAGCGUAAUAGCUCACUAGUCGAGUCGGCCUGCGCGGAAGAUGUAACGGGGCUCAAACCACACACCGAAGCUGCGGGUGUCACGUAAGUGACGCGGUAGAGGAGCGUUCUGUAAGCCUGUGAAGGUGAGUUGAGAAGCUUGCUGGAGGUAUCAGAAGUGCGAAUGCUGACAUGAGUAACGACAAUGGGUGUGAAAAACCCCCACGCCGAAAGACCAAGGGUUCCUGCGCAACGUUAAUCGACGCAGGGUUAGUCGGUUCCUAAGGCGAGGCUGAAAAGCGUAGUCGAUGGGAAACAGGUUAAUAUUCCUGUACUUCUGGUUACUGCGAUGGAGGGACGGAGAAGGCUAGGCCAGCUUGGCGUUGGUUGUCCAAGUUUAAGGUGGUAGGCUGAAAUCUUAGGUAAAUCCGGGGUUUCAAGGCCGAGAGCUGAUGACGAGUCGUCUUUUAGAUGACGAAGUGGUUGAUGCCAUGCUUCCAAGAAAAGCUUCUAAGCUUCAGGUAACCAGGAACCGUACCCCAAACCGACACAGGUGGUCGGGUAGAGAAUACCAAGGCGCUUGAGAGAACUCGGGUGAAGGAACUAGGCAAAAUGGCACCGUAACUUCGGGAGAAGGUGCGCCGGCUAGGGUGAAGGAUUUACUCCGUAAGCUCUGGCUGGUCGAAGAUACCAGGCCGCUGCGACUGUUUAUUAAAAACACAGCACUCUGCAAACACGAAAGUGGACGUAUAGGGUGUGACGCCUGCCCGGUGCCGGAAGGUUAAUUGAUGGGGUUAGCGCAAGCGAAGCUCUUGAUCGAAGCCCCGGUAAACGGCGGCCGUAACUAUAACGGUCCUAAGGUAGCGAAAUUCCUUGUCGGGUAAGUUCCGACCUGCACGAAUGGCGUAACGAUGGCGGCGCUGUCUCCACCCGAGACUCAGUGAAAUUGAAAUCGCUGUGAAGAUGCAGUGUAUCCGCGGCUAGACGGAAAGACCCCGUGAACCUUUACUGUAGCUUUGCACUGGACUUUGAGCCUGCUUGUGUAGGAUAGGUGGGAGGCUUUGAAGCGUGGACGCCAGUUCGCGUGGAGCCAUCCUUGAAAUACCACCCUGGCAUGCUUGAGGUUCUAACUCUGGUCCGUGAUCCGGAUCGAGGACAGUGUAUGGUGGGCAGUUUGACUGGGGCGGUCUCCUCCUAAAGAGUAACGGAGGAGUACGAAGGUGCGCUCAGACCGGUCGGAAAUCGGUCGUAGAGUAUAAAGGCAAAAGCGCGCUUGACUGCGAGACAGACACGUCGAGCAGGUACGAAAGUAGGUCUUAGUGAUCCGGUGGUUCUGUAUGGAAGGGCCAUCGCUCAACGGAUAAAAGGUACUCCGGGGAUAACAGGCUGAUACCGCCCAAGAGUUCAUAUCGACGGCGGUGUUUGGCACCUCGAUGUCGGCUCAUCACAUCCUGGGGCUGAAGCCGGUCCCAAGGGUAUGGCUGUUCGCCAUUUAAAGUGGUACGCGAGCUGGGUUUAGAACGUCGUGAGACAGUUCGGUCCCUAUCUGCCGUGGACGUUUGAGAUUUGAGAGGGGCUGCUCCUAGUACGAGAGGACCGGAGUGGACGAACCUCUGGUGUUCCGGUUGUCACGCCAGUGGCAUUGCCGGGUAGCUAUGUUCGGAAAAGAUAACCGCUGAAAGCAUCUAAGCGGGAAACUUGCCUCAAGAUGAGAUCUCACUGGGAACUUGAUUCCCCUGAAGGGCCGUCGAAGACUACGACGUUGAUAGGCUGGGUGUGUAAGCGUUGUGAGGCGUUGAGCUAACCAGUACUAAUUGCCCGUGAGGCUUGACCAU